AUGGAGACAUAUACAGUUGUAGAUUUGGUCACUUUUUUCUUUGCUGAUUGGUUAUUUAUAUUUGACAUGCUUAUUCCGCAUGGGGUUAGUCAGACCAUCUCUAAGAUUGCAGGGGAGCUAAUACAACGACCUUAUGCAGAAUAUAGGACACAAUCAAGCUCUUUAGCUAAUCUUGCUUGGCUGUAUGGAUUAAUUUCAUGUGGUAAAUUAACUAUUCUGAAAAUGAAAGCUGCAGACCUUGUCAUCAGCAAAAAAAGGUGUUUUGUGAAUGGAAGCAGUGGGUUGAAGUUUAUCUGGAGCAGGGCAUUGUGGCACACCGUGCACUGUCCUAUUCAUCAUUUCAGAGGGUGCCAUCUUGAUGUCUGCAUUCACCCACACCGCCUACUUUGUCUUAGAUCUCCAAUGAAUUGGUAUACUCCAUAUAUUACUGAUGUCCACAGUUUGGCGAAUUUUGAAAAAUGUUAA
Molecule: ribosomal RNA, 465 nt
Filed under: Triticum aestivum (bread wheat)
Lineage: Eukaryota; Viridiplantae; Streptophyta; Magnoliopsida; Poales; Poaceae
Description: partial small subunit ribosomal RNA
Source: RNAcentral